CGAUGUCUUUGGCAAUCACGUUUUAGUCACGCAUGAUCCACAGGCAAUAGAGCACUGCUCUAUAGAUCUUGUAGGUAUACUUUAGUAUAGUUAAAACGAGGUAGCCAUGCUAUUUAACGUGGCACCGCUAUUGGACGGCAGAAACCAAGCUGGGGUUAUUCUAGCCGUUUUCUUGGGUUAUUACAUCAAGCGACGUUUCUUCACAUCCAAAAAGCGCUCUAUUAAAUGGAAGAACCCCUUUGCUCAAGACUCUAGGUCCCCCUUGACUCCACUGGUUACUGAACAAGAGAAACGUGAUGAAAUCUUGAAGAAAGCCUUUACCAAACAGCUUGCCACUGAACACCAAUGGGAUGCUAUAGUUAUUGGAAGUGGCAUGGGAGGUCUCUCCAGUGCAGCCCUGCUCAGUAAAGCAGGUCUUAAAGUCUUGGUUCUUGAGAAGCACGGCAAAUGUGGUGGCGCUUGUCACAUCUUUAAAGCAGAAGGCUAUGAGUUUGAUGUUGGAAUUCACUAUGUUGGGAAUCUUACCCGUCACACCCUUAAUAAAACUUUGUUGGAUCAAAUUAGCGAUGGACAAAUCCAGUGGGCUCUACUUGAAAACAAUUUCGACCGUGUGAUUGUCGAUGCCAUGUCUCCAACGCAACGCGAAUACAAUAUUCCGUCCGGUCGUGGUGUUUGGAAAAAUCAGCUGAUUGAGCAAUUUCCCGAAGAGCAAAAAGCCAUCGAAACUUUUUUCUCAAUGGUCAACAAAGUGACCCGUCAAACCAAAGCCUGGGUUAUGGUCAAAGUGAUUCCCAUCUGGCUGGUCAAAUUGAUAAGCCUGUUUGGCUUACCGCGUUUUUUGAGCGACUUUUAUGCCCUGGGUGGCCGUACACUCAAAGACGUCAUUGAGAGCUUAACGAAGAACAAGGAUCUACAGCUUCUAUUCGCCUACAGCUGGGGAACCUAUGGCGAGCCACCGAACCGCAGCAGCUUUGCCCUGCAAGCUCUACUUCACGCUCACUAUGAAGACGGGGCUACGUAUCCGAUCGGAGGAGCUUCAGAAAUCCCAUAUCGAAUUGUUCCGGUCAUUGAACGGGCGGGAGGUCGCGUCCUGAUGAAAGCCCCAGUCUCCCAGAUUCUCACAGAAGAUGGGAGGGUGACGGGUGUUCGUGUGGGCAACAAGGAGAGUUCCGCAGUCGAUAUCUUCGCCCCCAUAGUCAUUUCUGAUGCAGGCAUCCACAACACUCUUAUGGACUUGCUUCCGGAAAACAUUGCCAAAACGUCUCCCGCUUGGCCUUUAACCAGUGCAAUGAAACCAGGAAUCGGUUGCUUGAGCGUUUUUAUAGGACUUCGGGGUACGGCUGAAGAAUUGGGCCUCAAAGCCGAAAAUCUCUGGGUCUUUACCGACUCUAGCCUUGAAGAUGGAUUUAACAACAUUUUCGAUGGUAGAACCCUGGAUGAUGUGCUCUACAAGCCUUAUCCAGCCUUUUUCGUAGGGUUCCCUUCUGCCAAAGACCCUUCGUGGGAGAGUCGCUAUCCAGGCCGCAGUACCAUCACGGUCGUGUCGUUCGCCCCGUACUCUUGGUUUGCUCAAUGGUCGGAUUUGACGGUUAAGAAGAGGGGCGAUGAGUACGAUUCGCUGAAAAAUGCCAUCGGUCAACAAAUCAUCGAUCAAAUUACUCAUCUCUACCCCGACCUGAAGGUGAGUCACCUAUCCAUUCAGAUUUCUAUAAAUGGUCAAAACAGACACGUCAUCUCACAUCUUGAUAUUGUGCGCGUAGAAUGCCAUCGAUUAUUUUAGCGUUGGGACUCCAAUUACUAAUGAGCACUACCUUAACGCCAAAGAAGGUGCCAUUUACGGCCUGGAACACGGCGUCGAGCGUUUCAGCCCGAAACAGGCGUCACUGUUGCGUCCCGAAACCGGCAUCGAAGGAUUGUUUCUCAGCGGGCAGGACGUGAUGUGUUCCGGUUUGGUGUCUGCAAUGCUGAGCGGCCUUCUCUGUGCCAGCUCCGUCUUGAAAACUAAUCUUUUCAAUGACCUCAUUCUAUUGCACAAGAAAGUGAAGGCCGCCG
RNAcentral lists this unclassified non-coding RNA (2052 nucleotides) under Daphnia pulex (common water flea). RNAcentral describes it as "all-trans-retinol 13,14-reductase-like, transcript variant X1". The record is from RNAcentral. Lineage: Eukaryota; Metazoa; Arthropoda; Branchiopoda; Diplostraca; Daphniidae.